GGAAUGCGGGAUUCUACGAAGUGGGCUGUGUCUCCACACCCCUAGAAGCUGGAUAUUCUGUCCUGGGCUGGAAUCAUCCAGGCUUUGCUGGGAGCACGGGGGUACCAUUCCCACAGAAUGAGGCCAAUGCCAUGGAUGUGGUGGUUCAGUUUGCCAUCCACCGCCUGGGCUUCCAGCCCCAGGACAUUGUCAUCUACGCCUGGUCCAUUGGAGGCUUCACUGCCACGUGGGCAGCCAUGUCCUACCCAGACAUUAGUGCUGUUAUCCUGGAUGCCUCCUUCGACGACUUGGUGCCCUUGGCCUUGAAGGUCAUGCCGGAUAGCUGGCGUGAGUGCGGCUCCCAAGCUGGCCCUUCCCGGGGAGGGUGGCAGCACAGCUCUUCUGACUGGGUGCUGCGGGUAUGUGGGUGGGGAUAGGCCGCCCCACUGCCGAGAGGCGGGCUUCCCUGCCCAGUGGGCAGUGGGGACCUUUAUGUUAGGCAAACUCCUCAUCUCCGUCCUUCAUGCUGUCCCCAUGGUGUCUAGGAGCCCUGGUGACCAGGACAGUGAGGCAGCACCUCAACCUCAACAACGCGGAGCAGCUGUGCAGGUGAGGUGGCCUCAGGUGAGGUGGCCUCAGGUGAGGUGGCCGCAGCCCCCGGGGUGCUCCGGUGUGCUGAGGGGAGAAGUGUCAGCGAGUGACCCUGCCACUACCCUGGCUGCCCAAGCCUUCCCAGGUCUUUGAGACCCCAAAUUUACGCACUCAUGACAUGGCAAUGAAGGGUUAAGCCUGUCUACCAGGCUGGACUGAGCCUGUGCCCUUCUUAAACCUGUUACUCCUGCCUCAGCUGUGGCCUGGCUCUCUGAGCUCUCCCUCCCUGCUGCUCUGUUCUGAAGGUUCCAGGGCCCUGUGCUGCUGGUCCGGAGAACCAAGGAUGAGAUCAUCACCACCACGGUUCCUGAGGACAUCAUGUCCAACAGAGGCAAUGACCUCCUGCUGAAGCUCCUGCAGUUCCGGUACCCUCGAGUGAUGACAGAGGAGGGGCUCAGAGCUGUGAGGCAGUGGCUGGAGGCCUCCUCCCAGCUAGAGGAAGCCUCCAUUUAUAGUCGCUGGGAGGUGGAUGAGGACUGGUGUGUGUCUGUGCUUCGCUCCUACCAGGCAGAGCAUGGGCCUGAUUUCCCCUGGAGUGUGGGGGAAGACAUGAGUGUAGAUGGACGGAGGCAACUGGCGCUGUUUCUGGCUCGGAAGCAUCUGCACAACUUUGAGGCCACACACUGCACUCCACUCCCAGCCCAGCACUUCCAGAUGCCCUGGUGCCUCUAGGCACCACAUAGACUCCUCUGGAAGGACAAGAUGGGAGGAGACACGAGGGGGCUACUUU
RNAcentral lists this long non-coding RNA (1360 nucleotides) under Rattus norvegicus (Norway rat). RNAcentral's name for it is "long non-coding RNA NONRATT017126". Lineage: Eukaryota; Metazoa; Chordata; Mammalia; Rodentia; Muridae. The record is from RNAcentral.